RNAcentral lists this long non-coding RNA (2715 nucleotides) under Salmo salar (Atlantic salmon). Its description in RNAcentral is "lncRNA (ENSSSAG00000090780.1)". The record is from RNAcentral. Lineage: Eukaryota; Metazoa; Chordata; Actinopteri; Salmoniformes; Salmonidae.
GGGCAAGACCCAGGUGAUGGGGGAGAUCAAGGUGGCUCUGAAGAAGGAGGUGAAACAAGAGGGAGACCAGCUGAUCCUGGAAGUCCUACAGUGUAGAAACAUCACUUACAAAUUCAAGAGCCCAGACCACCUACCAGAUCUCUAUGUGAAGCUGUAUGUGGUGAACGUGGCGACUCAGAAGAGGAUUAUCAAGAAGAAGACCAGAGUGUGUCGUCACGACAGAGAACCCUCCUUCAACGAGACCUUUAGGUUCAGCCUCAACCCCACCGGACACUCCCUGCAGUUGUUCCUGGUGUCUAACGGGGUAAGUUUAUGAAGAAGACCCUGAUAGGAGAGGCCUACAUCUGGCUGGACAAGGUGGACAUGAGGAAGAGGGUGGUCAGCUGGCACAAGCUGCUGGUCAGCUCCACACACAACCAGUCAUGAGAGGUCAACUUGAGAGGACACCGAGGGGUCAACCAGAGAAAAGAGAGGGGGAGGAGAAGAAGAGAUAAGAGGGAAGGAAGAGGGGUUGCGGGUACGGACUCGCCCAGAAAGAACUGAUCCUCCUAUUCCCUCUCCCACUGCCAGACAUGGACUUUACCCUGAUCCUUAAUUGGACCAAAGACUGUCAGAGACUGUACCCUGAUUGGAUAGACUGCCAGCACGCACGCACGCACACACACACACACACACACACACACACACACACACACACACACACACACACACACACACACACACACACACACACACACACACACACACCGAGGAAUGAAGAAGUCCUCCGCUGUAAGAGGACACACACAUCUCACCACCUGUCAGCUCUCUGCUCGACAUGUCGGAUGCAAAACCUGACGUCAAACAGGACUGGGCAGCAAUAUCACAAAGAUAGUUACCAUGAUGGAGCUACUCAUUUCUGUUCUGUCUGAAUCUGAUACUGUUGUUUAUGGCUUAUCAGAUCAUUAUCAUUAUUGGGAUUGAUCUGUGAAAAUGUCAGUCAGUCAGUGAGUGGGGUUCAAAUUGAUGUAUUUGUUUGUGUGUUUUUGUCCUUGGCUGUUUGACAAAGUAUGGAAUGUUUGUUGUAAGAUUCUAUUUAUGUUGUGUACAAAAAGUACAGUGCAAUUAUAUUGUUGAUAAGUAAUUAACGAAACCUGACCAUACCUGAACUCUCAAGUCCAGUAGGUGACAGUAAUGUACCAUUACAGUUUGUUGCCAACAGCCAUAAAACUCCAACUUGACCUUACCUGGAAAGAUGUAGAUGUACAUUCAGAUUUAGAUAGAUAUAUGUCAGAAUAUGAAUCAUAUCAGAGACACAGUGUACAGAGAAAUGUUAUUUAUGACCAUAGAUGCAUAUAUUACAGAUGAUAUGAGGUGUCUCCUCAUGUACAGUUUAUUCUAAAGACUACAUUCUGGACAAACAAGGGUAUGGAAGGAGCACAGACAAUCCAAUCCCUUUAGCUCUGGUGUUAUGCAGUUAUACUGGGUGUUAUACAGUGGGAAAACAGGAAAAUGCAGUUCAAAUGGUGAAUGUAGAACUCAUAGCACAACUGAGACAGAGAGGAGAACAACUACAUGGAUAUCCGUCCUCUUACAGGUGGGGAGAAGAGAACAGAUAGAAGAGGAUGUCAGGUCCCUUCCCUUCAAACUCAUGGCAGUCUGAUAUAUUGUGUUGUGAGAGAGUCCAUUCCACAUACGGACAGCAGUGUGUAGGAAUCUUCCGUCCCCUCCCCUUAUUAUGUCCUGAACGUUACUCACUGAGGAAGAUCACAUGAUUUUACUGGACCCAUCAGACUGGUUAUGUUUUUGUGAUGUCUUACGCACAUGUGACUGGAGGCUUAAACAAUAGUUUUGGUUUGAGAGCAAAACCGAGAUUGCUGGCCACCUUGCCCAACCUGCAAUCGAACAGAGGGAUGUGUAGCCUCUCUCUGGUGAAGUGCUCUGCUCCCCUGUUUGGGCUCCUCACCUAUUCUAUGUUAAAGCAACAGUUAGACACACCUGUCCCCUGCGUGUGUGACAUCACAGUCUGGUUCUGUAAAAAAAACGGAACACCCAACAUCUUGCUGUAAACAGUACACUGUAAAUUGUGCACUGUGCAGUCAGUGUCAGUGGAUGUAAUGCGACAACACAGUGAACCAGCCUUUGUCACUGCCUCUGGUCAAAGCUCUAAGUCAUUACCUAUGGUCCAGUCAUAACACGGCCAGGACACACUGAUACACACUGAUAUACAGUCCAAAUCUAUGGGCUCAGAACCAUAUGGCACUACUGUUGUUAGUAUAUUAUUAUUGUCAGUGAUCUAUAUAGUGGAUCAUAGUGAACAACAUCCUCAAGUGACCCUACAGAGCUAGUACCCUCCACCCUAUCUGCAGGCAUAUCACUGAGCAACUAGGGGAGGACAGAUGCAAUUUCCUAAUAAAUUAAGUCCAUAUCAGAGGCUCGAAAUUCAGACACUGAGUCAAGAUGUCACAAAUGUUCAUAAGACAAAAAAAACGUGAUUUUAAAGAGGGUUAGUUUUACAGAAAAUGAUAUUGUCGUGCCAACCUUGUUUUGUAAGCAAACCCAUUGGUUGUGUUGAAGUCAUUCUAUGCAACAUAGACCUUGUGUUUGAAUGCAUUUUCUUAACAUGUAAUAUCAGUGAACAUUGUGUCUGAAAAUAUGUAUCUUAUGAAUAGAAUUUUAAUUUAUUUUGGUUUAUAUAUUAUUGAAGAAAAGUAUAAAAAAAAUAGAGAGAGAUUU